Molecule: long non-coding RNA, 478 nt
Organism: Phragmites australis (common reed)
Lineage: Eukaryota; Viridiplantae; Streptophyta; Magnoliopsida; Poales; Poaceae
Exons: 4
Source: RefSeq, a predicted model, not a curated record
UCCGCUAUUCUCGUCUCCAUCAAAGAGAUCGAUCUCUCUUCCCACGAUCGCCGAACGUCAUCUCUUCCAACGGCGGCCCAGCCUAAUAUUCAUCGCGUCCUCCUCGUCCCCAACACCGAAGCUUGGAUUCGGUAAUGGUACAAAGGAUCGAGCGGAGGGCGGGCAGCCAGGCGGCAGGCGCAUAGACGCAGGGGUGAGGGCACGGGCGGCAGCGCCUGGACGGACGCCGUGAAUCUCGGGGACGACGUUGAGUGGUGAAGCUUCGCGGGUGGCGAUGCUUUGCUGGCUUGCGUGAAGGGCGUGCGCAACGAGCUCAGGCGUCCGAUUUCCUACGUCUGACCCGAGUCAGGCAGCACAUCUGGGCACCAACCAAACAUCACUCCGGUAAAUCUCAGGAGGACUCCGAUCAGUUGUGGAUGAAAAGAGCUGGCAAUAGGAUGUUGACUUGUAGCUGUUUAGAUGACACCAGAUGAAAAUG